GACGAACGCUGGCGGCGUGCUUAACACAUGCAAGUCGAACGGAAAGGCCCUGCUUGCCGGGUACUCGAGUGGCGAACGGGUGAGUAACACGUGGGUGAUCUGCCCUGCACUUCGGGAUAAGCCUGGGAAACUGGGUCUAAUACCGGAUAGGAGCCAUUUUUAGUGUGAUGGUUGGAAAGUUUUUUCGGUGUAGGAUGAGCUCGCGGCCUAUCAGCUUGUUGGUGGGGUAAUGGCCUACCAAGGCGGCGACGGGUAGCCGGCCUGAGAGGGUGGACGGCCACAUUGGGACUGAGAUACGGCCCAGACUCCUACGGGAGGCAGCAGUGGGGAAUAUUGCACAAUGGGCGCGAGCCUGAUGCAGCGACGCCGCGUGGGGGAUGACGGCCUUCGGGUUGUAAACUCCUUUCGCUAGGGACGAAGCUUUUUGUGACGGUACCUAGAUAAGAAGCACCGGCUAACUACGUG
This 465-nucleotide ribosomal RNA is filed under the name uncultured bacterium. RNAcentral's name for it is "partial 16S ribosomal RNA". It matches the Rfam family "Bacterial small subunit ribosomal RNA", at positions 28 to 507 of the family's 1533-position model. The record is from RNAcentral.